AUACCAGCACCCCGAGUGGUCGGGACGAUUAUUGGGCCUAAAGCAUCCGUAGCCGGUACUGCAAGUCUUCCGUUAAAUCCAACUGCUUAACAGAUGGGCCGCGGAGGAUACUAUAAGACUAGGAGGCAGGAGAGGCAAGCGGUACUCAGUGGGUAGGGGUAAAAUCCGUUGAUCCAUUGAAGACCACCAGUGGCGAAGGCGGCUUGCCAGAACGCACUCGACGGUGAGGGAUGAAAGCUGGGGGAGCAAACCGGAUUAGAUACCCGGGUAGUCCCAGCUGUAAACGAUGCAGACUCGGUGAUGAAUAGGCUUCGUGCCUAUUCAGUGCCGCAGGGAAGCCGUUAAGUCUGCCGCCUGGGGAGUACGGUCGCAAGAUUAAAACUCAAAGGAAUUGGCGGGG
This 400-nucleotide ribosomal RNA is filed under the name uncultured bacterium. Its description in RNAcentral is "partial 16S ribosomal RNA". It matches the Rfam family "Archaeal small subunit ribosomal RNA", at positions 473 to 873 of the family's 1478-position model. The record is from RNAcentral.